AGUCGAGCGAACAGACAAGGAGCUUGCUCCUUUGACGUUAGCGGCGGACGGGUGAGUAACACGUGGGUAACCUACCUAUAAGACUGGGAUAACUUCGGGAAACCGGAGCUAAUACCGGAUAAUAUUUCGAACCGCAUGGUUCGAUAGUGAAAGAUGGUUUUGCUAUCACUUAUAGAUGGACCCGCGCCGUAUUAGCUAGUUGGUAAGGUAACGGCUUACCAAGGCGACGAUACGUAGCCGACCUGAGAGGGUGAUCGGCCACACUGGAACUGAGACACGGUCCAGACUCCUACGGGAGGCAGCAGUAGGGAAUCUUCCGCAAUGGGCGAAAGCCUGACGGAGCAACGCCGCGUGAGUGAUGAAGGUCUUCGGAUCGUAAAACUCUGUUAUUAGGGAAGAACAUACGUGUAAGUAACUAUGCACGUCUUGACGGUACCUAAUCAGAAAGCCACGGCUAACUACGUGCCA
RNAcentral lists this ribosomal RNA (468 nucleotides) under Staphylococcus aureus. Its description in RNAcentral is "bacterial SSU rRNA". It matches the Rfam family "Bacterial small subunit ribosomal RNA", at positions 60 to 510 of the family's 1533-position model. Lineage: Bacteria; Bacillati; Bacillota; Bacilli; Caryophanales; Staphylococcaceae. The record is from RNAcentral.